GACGUAGGGUGCGAGCGUUAAUCGGAAUUACUGGGCGUAAAGCGUGCGCAGGCGGUUCACCAAGCUCGAUGUGAAAGCCCCGGGCUUAACCUGGGAAUUGCAUUGAGGACUGGUGUGCUCGAGUGCGGCAGAGGGGGGUGGAAUUCCACGUGUAGCAGUGAAAUGCGUAGAGAUGUGGAGGAACACCGAUGGCGAAGGCAGCCCCCUGGGCCGACACUGACGCUCAUGCACGAAAGCGUGGGGAGCAAACAGG
This 253-nucleotide ribosomal RNA is filed under the name uncultured bacterium. RNAcentral describes it as "partial 16S ribosomal RNA". It matches the Rfam family "Bacterial small subunit ribosomal RNA", at positions 524 to 776 of the family's 1533-position model. The record is from RNAcentral.